This 568-nucleotide long non-coding RNA is filed under the name Olea europaea subsp. europaea. The record is from RNAcentral. Lineage: Eukaryota; Viridiplantae; Streptophyta; Magnoliopsida; Lamiales; Oleaceae.
CCUUUUACUUUUCCUCUUCAUUAUAGUACUGGUGUGAAAACCUGCAGUGGUAAAGUUAACAUAGCUCUCAAAUUGCGAGUGCUCCAUUGUAAAUGUGCGUUUAACUCUCAUAAGCAGGAGAUUCUAUAACAUAGCUAGUAAAUAUAAGUAACAACUCGUCCGCGACUCCUCCCCCAUUUUUGUUGCUUAUCCAGUAAAUUCCGUUCCAAAUUAUGUACACGUUUUGUUUCAAGUGAAUAAGGUAUUAACAUGAACUUUUGCUCUUAAUAGGCCGACCUUCUGAGACGGCAGACUUUGCAACAAAUGCAUCGAAUCUUGACAACCCGACAAGCUGCCCGUGCUCUUCUUGCCAUUAAUGAUUACAAGUCGAGGCUUCAGGCUCUCAAUUGUUUAUGGUUGGCCCGUCCUGAGGAUUGACUUCAGUUCUUUUACGUGAUCAUGCUAAUCUUUCAGAACCUUUGCAAGCUGACUAUUCCCGCAUAAUAUUAGGUUGCAUUUCUAUAGUUAUUCGCUGGUGGGUUGAUGUUACUGUGCUAUUUGUUUAGUUAAGUAUUAACUGAGACUGGAU